AUCACACACCUUCUCUCUACUUCUAUAUCCAGACAUUUUGCCCACCCAUAAUACCUAUUCAUCUCCCUAACUCACAAUUCGCUCCUCUUCUCCUCCACAGAUGAAACUCCAACGCACAGUCCUGAUACUGGUGGUGUUGUCAGUGUUGUCGGUGUUGGUAGUGACAGCACCCAACGAUCUUCAGCCGAGGAAGAGGUUUGGCUUCAGGAGUAGAUUCAACCGCAGGAAAUCUCUCGGUAUCUGGGCUCCGGACAUUGAUAACCGCUUCUGGCACGGAUAUGACAUAGACGGCUAUACCAGAAACGGAUGAAUUUGUGGAUGAGUGAAGCGUCUUGGAUGCUGCUGUUUCAUCUGUUUCGUCUCGUUUCAUCUCACAAGCCGUUUUAAGUCAAGUUCCUCGGUAUUAUUUCGUCUCUUAAAUAAGUAGAAAAAAUGUUAAGUACAAAAAGAAGAGUCAGUUAGAUUUAAGGAAUAGUGUUGUAUAAGUAAAUGGAAUAAAGUCACAAAAGGAAAGACAGUGUGGUUCCAUUUUUUUUUUUUUUUUUUUUUUUUUUAAGGUAGGACGAAUAAAGUUGUGAAAGCUCUGUUGGAUUUUGAUUUGAGAACACUAUAUAUAUAUAUUUUUUUUUUUAUCAUUUCAUCACUUCAUGCAAAGGAGCCAUUAGCUGGUACUGAUCUGAAAUUGAUCAAUCUCUCUAUGAUAUGUAUAUUUUUGCGUUCAUCUACAUAUGCAUUUAUUAAUAUAAACGUACUAUAAUAUUUGCAAAUUAAGUUUUUUAAUAAUCUUUUUCCUGAAAACACAAAGACUGAAUCCUUUUCCUGUUUUUCUUUCUUUCUUUCUUUCUCUCUUUCUUUC
Molecule: non-coding RNA, 856 nt
Organism: Penaeus vannamei (Pacific white shrimp)
Lineage: Eukaryota; Metazoa; Arthropoda; Malacostraca; Decapoda; Penaeidae
Source: RefSeq, a predicted model, not a curated record